AGUGAACGUUGGCGGCGUGGAUUAGGCAUGCAAGUCGAGCGAUCGUAGCAAUACGGGAGCGGCAAACGGGGUAGGAAUACAUCGGAACGUACCCUCUGGUCGAGGAUAGCGUCGGGAAACUGACGGUAAUACUCGAUAAAGUCGAGAGACCAAAGGUUUACUGCCGGAGGAGCGGCCGAUGCGAUAUUAGGUAGUUGGUGGGGUAACGGCCUACCAAGCCUGAGAUGUCUAGGGGGGUGUGAGAGCAUGGCCCCCCACCACUGGGACUGAGAAACUGCCCAGACACCUACGGGUGGCUGCAGUCGAGGAUCUUCGUCAAUGGGCGAAAGCCUGAACGAGCGACGCCGCGUGCGGGAUGAAGGCCCUUGGGUUGUAAACCGCUGUCAGGGGGGAUGAAACCGCAAGGUUGACAGAGCCCCAGAGGAAGCACGGGCUAAGUUCGUG
Molecule: ribosomal RNA, 444 nt
Filed under: uncultured bacterium
Lineage: Bacteria
Description: bacterial SSU rRNA
Rfam family: Bacterial small subunit ribosomal RNA
Source: RNAcentral